GCAGACACAUUCCAGCCAAUCAGCGGCAGACCCUCCCUCCCAGACCCUGCCACCUCCUGGACAGCAUCCAUUUUGAAGCUGCAUUCUUAGUGAGCUGUCCAGGAGGUGGGAGGGUCUGGGAGGGAGGGUCUGCUGCGGAUUGGCUGGAAUGUGUCUG
Molecule: microRNA precursor, 157 nt
Filed under: Pelobates cultripes (western spadefoot toad)
Lineage: Eukaryota; Metazoa; Chordata; Amphibia; Anura; Pelobatidae
Source: RNAcentral